This 253-nucleotide ribosomal RNA is filed under the name uncultured bacterium. RNAcentral describes it as "partial 16S ribosomal RNA". It matches the Rfam family "Bacterial small subunit ribosomal RNA", at positions 524 to 776 of the family's 1533-position model. RNAcentral also lists the same sequence under 1 other name. The record is from RNAcentral.
UACGGAGGAUGCAAGCGUUAUCCGGAAUCAUUGGGCGUAAAGCGUCCGCAGGUGGCACUUCAAGUCUGCUGUCAAAGGUCGGGGCUUAACUCCGAACAGGCAGUGGAAACUGAAGCGCUCGAGUGCGGUAGGGGCAGAGGGAAUUCCUGGUGUAGCGGUGAAAUGCGUAGAGAUCAGGAAGAACACCGGUGGCGAAAGCGCUCUGCUAGGCCGCAACUGACACUCAGGGACGAAAGCUAGGGGAGCGAAUGGG